Molecule: ribosomal RNA, 36 nt
Filed under: Plesiolebias aruana
Lineage: Eukaryota; Metazoa; Chordata; Actinopteri; Cyprinodontiformes; Rivulidae
Description: partial 16S ribosomal RNA
Source: RNAcentral
CACUUAUUAGCUAGCUUACUUAAUCUAUUUAACAAG